Molecule: transfer RNA, 74 nt
Filed under: Synergistes sp. 3_1_syn1
Lineage: Bacteria; Thermotogati; Synergistota; Synergistia; Synergistales; Synergistaceae
Also listed under: 5 other names
Description: tRNA-Cys
Rfam family: tRNA
About the family: Transfer RNA (tRNA) molecules are approximately 80 nucleotides in length. Their secondary structure includes four short double-helical elements and three loops (D, anti-codon, and T loops). Further hydrogen bonds mediate the characteristic L-shaped molecular structure. tRNAs have two regions of fundamental functional importance: the anti-codon, which is responsible for specific mRNA codon recognition, and the 3' end, to which the tRNAs corresponding amino acid is attached (by aminoacyl-tRNA synthetases). tRNAs cope with the degeneracy of the genetic code in two manners: having more than one tRNA (with a specific anti-codon) for a particular amino acid; and 'wobble' base-pairing, i.e. permitting non-standard base-pairing at the 3rd anti-codon position.
Source: RNAcentral
GGCGGCAUAGCCAAGUGGUAAGGCAGAGGACUGCAAAUCCUUUAUCCCCAGUUCGAGUCUGGGUGCCGCCUCCA